This 465-nucleotide ribosomal RNA is filed under the name Vreelandella stevensii. Its description in RNAcentral is "partial 16S ribosomal RNA". It matches the Rfam family "Bacterial small subunit ribosomal RNA", at positions 338 to 795 of the family's 1533-position model. Lineage: Bacteria; Pseudomonadati; Pseudomonadota; Gammaproteobacteria; Oceanospirillales; Halomonadaceae. The record is from RNAcentral.
CCUACGGGAGGCAGCAGUGGGGAAUAUUGGACAAUGGGGGGAACCCUGAUCCAGCCAUGCCGCGUGUGUGAAGAAGGCCCUCGGGUUGUAAAGCACUUUCAGUGAGGAAGAACGCCUGGUGGUUAAUACCCAUCAGGAAAGACAUCACUCACAGAAGAAGCACCGGCUAACUCCGUGCCAGCAGCCGCGGUAAUACGGAGGGUGCGAGCGUUAAUCGGAAUUACUGGGCGUAAAGCGCGCGUAGGUGGCUAGAUAAGCCGGUUGUGAAAGCCCCGGGCUCAACCUGGGAACGGCAUCCGGAACUGUCAAGCUAGAGUGCAGGAGAGGAAGGUAGAAUUCCCGGUGUAGCGGUGAAAUGCGUAGAGAUCGGGAGGAAUACCAGUGGCGAAGGCGGCCUUCUGGACUGACACUGACACUGAGGUGCGAAAGCGUGGGUAGCAAACAGGAUUAGAUACCCGGGUAGUC